Molecule: long non-coding RNA, 1439 nt
Organism: Prionailurus viverrinus (fishing cat)
Lineage: Eukaryota; Metazoa; Chordata; Mammalia; Carnivora; Felidae
Exons: 2
Source: RefSeq, a predicted model, not a curated record
GGCCGAGGGGGCGCGGCUCCCGGCGGCCCCCGGGGCUGCGGGGUCUCGGCUGCAGGGCCGUCCGCGUUCCCGGCCGAAUUCACCCCGUCUGCUCCCCCCGCCCUUGCCUGUUUCUGCAUCCUCACCCUGCCCAGGUGUCCCCCAUCUGAGCGCGCGGGAACCCGAAGAAAAGACUGAGCCACGUUAAGGCGGGGGUUGGCAGAGGCCUUUGGGCCUCCCGGGACCCCUCUAAACACAAAAACAAUUCAUCUCCCCCCUCGUUCGCAAGCUCGGGGCUCCUGGGAAGGACCAUCCUUUGCCUGGAGACAAUCUCUGGACAGAUUUGGGUUCAAAUCCCAGCAUCUCAUGCCUUGGGGGAGCCCCACGUCCAAAGAGCGCCUCAUCUGUGAAGUGGGAUUUACCCUACCCACCCCUCGGUGUUGAUGAAAUUGAGACCGUGCGUGCCAAGUGUUGAGAACACAGUAAGCGCUUAAUAAAUGUUAGCGGCUGUCAUGCUUAAUGUUAUUGCCGUUGUUACAACUGACUCGCUGUGGGCCCGAAGGAUCCUGUGGCUGCUGAGCCUCAAUCUUCCCCGCUGUAAAAUGUAGACCGUACUCUUCUUCAGAGCUGUUGCAUGCAGGUGGCGUUCCAUAAAUGCAGCAGGCCCGUGCCCAAGCGGAGGAGAGUGGAGGUCUCUUCGGAGCUUCUCCAGGGUCUCUGGAGUCUCUAGAGCGCGCAGCUUGGCUCGAGGCCGACCCCGCACUCCCUUGGAAACCCGGAUGUCAGCUCCCCAAGGAUCAUUGUCUGUCUUGUCCUCUGCUGAGUCCCUGGCUCCUACAACAGUGUCUAGCGUGUGGAAAGGGCUCAGUAAGUAGCUGCUGGGUGAACAGAUGGUUGAACAAACAGAGCAUGAUGGGGUAUGGCUGGAGUUUUUCACGCUGACGAACCUGAAGUGGGGGGCAGUCUCCAGAUGCUGCAGAUGGUGGGGAUGGAGGGGUUCCAGCACGUCUCUGGAGUUCAAGCUUGACCCUGAGGAUUGUGGGAGCGACUGACGGAUUCUUAGCAGGGGAGGGACUAAGGAUCGUUUCUCAAAAGAUAAGGCUCUUUGCAAACCAAGUCUCCUCCAGCAGGGGCCAGAAAAAGAGAGGGGAGUAGAUUCGUCUGGCACCAGAAAGAAUAAACGUAUCAACAAGGCUAAACUCAAAAAACCAUUGGGUUGGAGGGGGAAUUAAAAAAAAAAAAAAAAAAAAAAGCAAGCAGAAAAAAAAUGAUACAAUUUGAUAGUGCUUAUAUCCAUUACUGAAGAACAGAAAGUGAAACUAUGUAUCAAGUUUGUAACAAACAUAGGGGCUAGUGUCCUGUGGUGUGCCAGGCAUCCUGGCUCAGGUGAGUGAGGCUCCCUGGGCUCAAAUCCUGGCAGCGCCCCAGACCAACAGUAAAAUUCUGAGCAAGUGACUUCA